This is a small nucleolar RNA of Andrographis paniculata, 130 nucleotides long. The record is from RefSeq and is a predicted model, not a curated record. Lineage: Eukaryota; Viridiplantae; Streptophyta; Magnoliopsida; Lamiales; Acanthaceae.
AUCCCAGAUAAGCUUAUAAAACUGGUUCUUAUCUGAUUCAUGGGAGGCAAAGAAUAAAUCGUGGAAGUUUCGCUGAUAACGCCGUUUCUUCUCGCAAAACGGUGUUUACUAGUAUCUCUACCACACAAUG